AUAACCACACGCGCAACUAUGUCUACAGCGGAGGAUCAUGGGAAAAAACUCUGUUUGUUCAUCCUGAUCAUCCUCGUCCUAUGCUGUGUGUUCAAUCAACGAUAGAAGGACAGGGAGGAGCUGGGGAAUGAGCUGACGAGGGGCAGGAUUGAAGGAUGAGGUUCAUGAGGAGUUCAUCUUUGCUAGAAACUUGAUCGUUUAAGCUGGAUUUGUACUGCUAUUUUAGUUGCUCCCACUUAUGUAGCUGGCUUGGUUACUGGCCUACUGCUUUGGGGUGCAUUGCAAAAGUACCCUGCUCUUUGCCUGCUCUGGCCGUUCAUACGCUAUUCCAGGGUUGAUGGUAACGAGCACAUCACAAAUCUUCUGUGACACUACUAAAACAUGCAAUUCAAUGGUGGUUAGUAAUGCAACAUUAUUGCAUUAAUUA
This is a long non-coding RNA of Setaria italica (foxtail millet), 427 nucleotides long. RefSeq lists it as uncharacterized. NCBI's taxonomy places the organism in Eukaryota, Viridiplantae, Streptophyta, Magnoliopsida, Poales, Poaceae. The transcript has 2 exons. The record is from RefSeq and is a predicted model, not a curated record.